This 92-nucleotide transfer RNA is filed under the name Sporisorium reilianum f. sp. reilianum. RNAcentral's name for it is "transfer RNA-Asp(GTC)". It matches the Rfam family "tRNA". Rfam says of the family: Transfer RNA (tRNA) molecules are approximately 80 nucleotides in length. Their secondary structure includes four short double-helical elements and three loops (D, anti-codon, and T loops). The record is from RNAcentral. RNAcentral also lists the same sequence under 1 other name. Lineage: Eukaryota; Fungi; Basidiomycota; Ustilaginomycetes; Ustilaginales; Ustilaginaceae.
UCCGAAUUAGUUUAGUGGCUAUGACGGCGCCUUGUCAGUGUUCUCCGCGCAGAAAAACGGCGCAGACCCGGGUUCAAUUCCCGGAUUCGGAG